UGGAGUAUAGCCAAGUGGAAAGGCUGCGAUUUUUGGUAUCGCUACUCAAAGGUUCGAGUCCUUUUACUCCAU
This 72-nucleotide transfer RNA is filed under the name Cyanoptyche gloeocystis. RNAcentral describes it as "tRNA-Gln". It matches the Rfam family "tRNA". From Rfam's summary of the family: Transfer RNA (tRNA) molecules are approximately 80 nucleotides in length. Their secondary structure includes four short double-helical elements and three loops (D, anti-codon, and T loops). The record is from RNAcentral. Lineage: Eukaryota; Glaucocystophyceae.